This 521-nucleotide ribosomal RNA is filed under the name uncultured Glomeraceae. Its description in RNAcentral is "SSU rRNA". It matches the Rfam family "Eukaryotic small subunit ribosomal RNA", at positions 569 to 1092 of the family's 1831-position model. The record is from RNAcentral. Lineage: Eukaryota; Fungi; Glomeromycota; Glomeromycetes; Glomerales; Glomeraceae.
AGCAGCCGCGGUAAUUCCAGCUCCAAUAGCGUAUAUUAAAGUUGUUGCAGUUAAAAAGCUCGUAGUUGAAUUUCGGGAUCAAUAUGUUGGUCGUGCCUUGGUACGUACUGGCAUUAUUGGUUUCUACCUUCUGAAGAACCUCGAUGUCAUUAAUUUGGUGUCUUGGGGAAUCAGGACUGUUACUUUGAAAAAAUUAGAGUGUUUAAAGCAGGCUCGCGCUUGAAUACAUUAGCAUGGAAUAAUGAAAUAGGACGUUUGAUUCUAUUUUGUUGGUUUCUAGGAUCGAUGUAAUGAUUAAUAGGGAUAGUUGGGGGCAUUAGUAUUCAAUUGUCAGAGGUGAAAUUCUUGGAUUUAUUGAAGACUAACUACUGCGAAAGCAUUUGCCAAGGAUGUUUUCAUUAAUCAAGAACGAAAGUUAGGGGAUCGAAGACGAUCAGAUACCGUCGUAGUCUUAACCAUAAACUAUGCCGACUAGGGAUCGGAUGAUGUUAAUUUUUUAAUGACUCAUUCGGCGCCUUACG